Molecule: ribosomal RNA, 356 nt
Filed under: uncultured Sphingobacteriales bacterium
Lineage: Bacteria; Pseudomonadati; Bacteroidota; Sphingobacteriia; Sphingobacteriales
Description: bacterial SSU rRNA
Rfam family: Bacterial small subunit ribosomal RNA
Source: RNAcentral
ACGAUCUACAAGGUGCUGCAUGGUUGUCGUCAGCUCGUGCCGUGAGGUGUCGGGUUAAGUCCCAUAACGAGCGCAACCCUUAUCGUUAGUUGCCAGCGGGUAAUGCCGGGGACUCUAACGAAACUGCCGGUGUAAACCGUGAGGAAGUGGGGAUGACGUCAAAUCAGCACGGCCCUUAUGUCCAGGGCGACACACGUGUUACAAUGGCCGGUACAGAGGGCAGCUACCUGGUGACAGGAUGCAAAUCUCCAAAACCGGUCUCAGUUCGGAUCGAAGUCUGCAACUCGACUUCGUGAAGCUGGAUUCGCUAGUAAUCGCGCAUCAGCCAUGGCGCGGUGAAUACGUUCCCGGGCCUU